UUUUAUUAUUAAAAAAGCUUUUGCUAAACAAAUCAUAAAAAAGUUUAAAAUGCACACAAUAAAUAAAAUCUCAUGUUGACAGUUCUACACAUUUGUAUUUGGCAAAGCUAAAAUUAAAGCUAUAUAUCACAGUUAAAAUGUAGCAAUAUUUCACCUGAAUUUGGAUGACAAAGGUUAUACGUUUUUAACGAGUGUUUACAUAUUAGUUUAUUUGUCAGCAUCAAUGUUUUUAUAAUUUCCUACGUUUUUUGUAACAACAAAAAAUUCAUUUCUUUCAAAUAUUACACACACCUAUGUAUAGUGUAAAUUCAGAAAUUAUUGAGAGGUUUUUAUUGUGCACAUUAUGAUAUUUGAUACAUAUAUCUGUAUUCAGACUUUUCUGAAAUGGCAAUAACUUAUUUUGCAUUGUAGUCGAUUCUUCCAAAAUCACAAUAAUAAAUGCACACAUCAAUUUCUGAAUUUACAGUAUAUACAUGUAUGUAUAAAUAUGACUUCUAAGCUAACAUAAUUUCACCACAUUUUGGAUUAUUUUACAAAAUUAAAGUUUGCUUAUUAUUAACAAAGCAUAACAAAGACACAUUUAGUUUGCUAAUUAAAUAUGUAUGCAGACAAUUUACUGUCUUCUACAGUGGAGACAUUCAUCAGUAACAAUACAAAAUAUAAAAAACAACACAUACCAGGUAGCAAAAAUAACAAAUGUAGCACUAUAUUAAAUUUUACGAUGUUUUGUAAUGUAAUGAGAAAGUAAUAACAGUUCCAUUAUAGUUACACUAACAAUAUACUUGCACUUCAAUGAUUCCUUUUAAUUUCCAUUAUUGUUUUAAAAAAUACCAUAACAAAACAAAUUAAGAAAGCAUA
RNAcentral lists this long non-coding RNA (858 nucleotides) under Mytilus galloprovincialis (Mediterranean mussel). Lineage: Eukaryota; Metazoa; Mollusca; Bivalvia; Mytilida; Mytilidae. The record is from RNAcentral.